AGGAUUAACGCUGGCGGCGUGCCUAACACAUGCAAGUCGAACGAGGUAGCAAUACCUAGUGGCAGACGGGUGAGUAGCGCGUGGUCAACCUACCGUUGAGUGGGGGAUAACUAGCCGAAAGGUUAGCUAAUACCGCAUACGAGUCUCGGGGGCAUCCCUGGUCCUUAAAAGGAGCAAUCCGCUCGAUGACGGGACCGCGUCCCAUUAGCUAGAUGGUGGGGUAAUGGCCUACCAUGGCUCCGAUGGGUAGCUGGUUUGAGAGAGCGACCAGCCACACUGGGACUGAGAAACGGCCCAGACUCCUACGGGAGGCAGCAGUGAGGAAUUUUCCGCAAUGGGCGAAAGCCUGACGGAGCGACGCCGCGUGUGGGAAGAAGGCCUUCGGGUCGUAAACCACUGUCGAAGGGGACGAUAAUGACGGUACCCUUGGAGGAAGCCCCGGCUAACUACGUGCCAGCAGCCGC
This 464-nucleotide ribosomal RNA is filed under the name uncultured bacterium. RNAcentral describes it as "SSU rRNA". It matches the Rfam family "Bacterial small subunit ribosomal RNA", at positions 26 to 518 of the family's 1533-position model. The record is from RNAcentral.